Long non-coding RNA from Chelmon rostratus (copperband butterflyfish), 150 nucleotides. RefSeq lists it as uncharacterized. The record is from RefSeq and is a predicted model, not a curated record. NCBI's taxonomy places the organism in Eukaryota, Metazoa, Chordata, Actinopteri, Chaetodontiformes, Chaetodontidae. The transcript is spliced from 3 exons.
CCAAGCAGGAGAAGAAGCAGAGGCUGCUGGCCCGCGCUGAGCAGAAGGCAGCUGGAAAGGGAGAUACCCCAACCAAGAGGCCCCCUGUUCUCCGUGCAGGUGUGAACACUGUCACCUCUCUGGUAGAGAGCAAGACGGCCCAGCUGGACA